GGCACACUGUUGUUUAGCUUCCGAAUAAAUAUAUUAUUAAGUGAAAUGGAGGCUAUUUUAAAUACGCAGUUUCAGCAGCUGGAAGAUAUCAUCGGGGAAAUAUUAAAAGUAAACAAGAGCGGGCAGAACUCAGACACAUUGCGAACUGCGGCGGCAUUGAAAUUUGUUGCAUUAAAGCAUGCAAAUCGAGAAGUUAAACAGAAAAUAAAGUCUGGACGGGAUAACUUACACUUGGAAAAAUGUAAAGUGGACAUAAGUCGGUUGCAAUUGCAAAAUCUUCUGUACGAAGUGAGCCACUUGAAAAAGGACAUCGUGCGUUGCGAGAAAUGUUUUAGCGAGUGAAUUGCUUUAGCAGCAACUAUAUUUUAAAACAUUUUCAUGUUUUUAGGGAUACUAAUUUCGUUCAGCAUCUCCUUCGGCAUUUGUUUGCAAACGAUUUGGGUAAUGAUAUACCUAUACCCGGUAUUCAAUACGAUUUACAGAAUAAGGAUCUGACACCAGAGGAAUGUAUACAAUAUCUGGAGUCUAAGGACUUUGGAAAAGCAUACUGUUGGUUACAAAGUAUAUGCUCUAUACCAAUAGUCAACAGCUCGCUGUUGUAUAAGCAUGAGCUGAACUUGAAUAAAAGCAUGAGGGAGACCAUAGCUCGCAUUACACGGCGCUGGAACUCUUGGUUAAAUCUAAGUCAGCAAAUACGUGGUCUGACUAACAAGGACAUCGAUUUGUAUGCACUAAAAGAAAAUGUCUAUCCUGCGGCCUUGUCUUGCAGCCUAGUGCAGUGGACGGCGAUCACUCUCGAGGAAUUCCUAGCCCAAAAUUCAGACGUACUAAACAUUUC
Drosophila miranda is the source of this 838-nucleotide long non-coding RNA. RefSeq lists it as uncharacterized. The record is from RefSeq and is a predicted model, not a curated record. The transcript is spliced from 3 exons. Lineage: Eukaryota; Metazoa; Arthropoda; Insecta; Diptera; Drosophilidae.